This 374-nucleotide ribosomal RNA is filed under the name uncultured bacterium. RNAcentral's name for it is "bacterial SSU rRNA". It matches the Rfam family "Bacterial small subunit ribosomal RNA", at positions 28 to 412 of the family's 1533-position model. The record is from RNAcentral.
GACGAACGCUGGCGGCGUGCUUAAAACAUGCAAGUCGAACGGACCCUUCGGGGUCAGUGGCAAACGGCUGAGUAACACGUAGGUAACUUACCCUUGAGUGGGGGAUAACUACUCGAAAGAGUAGCUAAUACCGCGUACGCUUCUCUGUCUCUGGACGGAUAAGGAGAGCAGUAAUGCGCUCGAGGAGAGGCCUGCGGUCGAUUAGCUAGUUGGUGAGGUAACGGCCCACCAAGGCUACGAUCGAUAGCUGGUCUGAGAGGACGAUCAGCCAGACUGGGACUGCGACACGGGCCCAGACUCCUACGGGAGGCAGCAGUUAGGAAUUUUGGGCAAUGGGCGAAAGCCUGACCCAGCAACGCCGCGUGAGCGAUGAA